Molecule: long non-coding RNA, 948 nt
Organism: Chinchilla lanigera (long-tailed chinchilla)
Lineage: Eukaryota; Metazoa; Chordata; Mammalia; Rodentia; Chinchillidae
Exons: 2
Source: RefSeq, a predicted model, not a curated record
CAAUGUACUAUUAUGCAGCCAGAAAGCAGUAACAUCUCUCAGUCCCUUUCUAUCAAUCAUUAAUAACUAAAUGCGUUACCAAAAAACUGCAGUACCUUGCCUCAGCCACACACUGCUUCUCUGGACACCCCGCUCCGACCCCUAUCAGCAGGCUCACGUGUCGCACUCCUUGAUCCCCCUGCACCCCUCGGCUUUCUCAACAAGCCACAGGUCCUUCCCCAGCACUCCCCAGUGCCUCUCCAGGGUUCCAGUCAGUGGUGGAAGUGAAACAGGGAAGGAGCAGUGGAUUGAAAAAGAAAUGCAGACGCAGUAAGAUCCACACACAGACCCUGCAGCCUCCGCUUAUGUGCUCACACAGUCCUGCCCCAGGUGAGCUAUGACAUAAGAGAGCAGAAAUGCAAGACCCUUGAGAGCCAGCCAGAACUCUCCUCCUGUCAACUGAGAUUGUUUUCCCACUGGUCCACAAUGAGAAGUUGAAAAGGAGAUAGGCAGAAGUCAGCUCAGCACCCGUGCCAGGAGCAAUGGCCUACUCCCCUUCUCUGUCUCAACCUGAUCUGUCCCUGCGGAGUCGGGCGCUGAUCUGUGAUGCAGCAAACCCAGAGGCCGGCCGCCCGCCCAGAGAAGGCGUACCUCAGCACAGCGGUACAAACCGUCGGCGUGCAGAACACCGCCAUGCUCCACGCUAAAGGCAACACCUCAUCAAUCACACGACAAACAACAACGGAAAACUUGAGACACAAAAUACAAUACUCCUGAAGUGAUGAAACCAGUAAAGAAUUCUAUGCUUUUGAAAUCAAAACGAUGACUCGGACUAUGCCUACCCCGUUAUCCACAGUCUCUGAAAGCAGCACCUGAAGCCCCUGCAGCUCUGGAGUCUGCAGAAUGAGAUCUGCUUCUCUCGGGAACCCUGGAGGCCUCUAGUGAAAGAACCUUUCCUUGGUGAACAUC